This is a long non-coding RNA of Piliocolobus tephrosceles (Ugandan red Colobus), 3839 nucleotides long. NCBI's taxonomy places the organism in Eukaryota, Metazoa, Chordata, Mammalia, Primates, Cercopithecidae. The record is from Ensembl.
AUUUUAAAAAAGAACGGAGAUGGUGAUAUUUUACAAAAUAAAAUAGAAGAACAUAAUGUUGUAGACCUUAAUAUGAAACCAUCUGUUAAAAGUCAUUUAACCAAUAGCAACACAAAUUUAAACACUAACACUUUUUCUACUAGUAAUUCAAAAAAUGUGUCCAUUGAAAAUGAUUUCGAUAAUAAUACACAUAAAAACGUAGAAGGCGCAAAUUUUACGCAAACAAAUGAAAAAAAAAGCAUAACAAAUACGAACAAACUCCCUUCAGUAGGCCAAAAUAAAUCAAUAGAAACAAAUGGGAAUGUAGAAAAACUAAUGUUUGAUAGAAGAAUUUCGAGAAAUGAUGAUAUAAUAAACGUUAUAAUAAAAAAUAUACUAGACGACCUAAAGAACAACAAUGUUAAUAUAAAAUCCAAUGUUUUAAAAAAAAAAAAAAUAAAUAAUAAUAAUAAAGUUAAAAAUGACGAGAAUGUAAAAUUAAAACAAAACUUCGACGAUAAUACGCUCAAUGAAAAAAACAUCAAAGGAAGCAAUGCUAGAAAAGUUGAAGAUUCUAUUGAUACUCUUCCGAAUAGUGAUACUACUGAUACACGCCCUGUAACUGAUACAAGCCGUGCAACUGGUAUAAAAAAUGCAACUGAUACACGCCCAGUAACUGAUACAAGCCAUGUAACUGGUAUAAAAAAUGCAACUGAUACACGCCCUGUAACUGAUACAAGCCAUGCAACUGGUAUAAAAAAUGCAACUGGUACAGAUGAUACGCAUGAUAAGAAACCAACUCGUGUUAUUAAUAAUCGUAUUAAGAACAGAUAUGGUGAUAAUAGUUUGACAGACAGGUAUAAGCUCGUAAGUAAACCGGGAAAAUCAAUCAAACACAAUAUUAUAGACACAACUGAGCAACCAGAAAAAAAAAAUAAAUAUAAAAUAGAAACCCGUGUUUUCGAAUCUUAUUCUAUGGUUACAAACUCGCCAGAAUUAUUUAAAGAUAUUUUGGUAGACGCAACAGAUUUAGCUUAUAAAAGUAUAGGUAAUUUAUAUAUACCAUAUAAUAGUAGUUCUAAGGAUGUGUUUACCCAUCAAAGACAUAUAGUUGUAACUAAUGUCGGAAAAAGAAAAUACAAAUUAGUUAUUAUGACGAAGUAUUCGAAGUUUUCGAAUUACAAUCCAGCUGUAAAAAAUAGCUUUAUCGAAAGUGAAGCAGAACCAGAAUCGUAUAAGGAAAAACCAGAAUCGGAUGAAACAGAACAAGAAUCGGAUGAAACAGAAUCAGAAUCGGAUGAAACAGAAUCAGGAUUGGAUGAAACAGAAUCAGGAUUGGAUGAAACACAACCAAAAUUCGAUGAAGAUUUUGAUUGUAGUAAAGAUUAUAAUGAAAUCGAUGUUGAUGAAUUAUAUGAUGGUGUUGGAAAUCUCAAUUAUAGCAAUGUUUAUAAUAAUGAAAAUACAAAAAAGACAGUCGAUGGACUUGACAAAAGUAGCGAUAGCAGUAACGGUAGAAACAGUGAUGGGUAUAAUGAUCAGAAAGAUCUAAGCAUAUUUGAAAAACUGAAACGAAUAUUUAGUUUUAUUUCUAUCAGGGGCAACACAGACGCAGGAGUAACAAAUGUAACUAACACUAACAACAAAGAAGAUAGUUCUAGUAAUAAUAGUAAUGAUAGUAGUAGUGACGACAAUGAUAGUAACAAAAAAAAAGACAUAAUGAAUAUAGACAAACUGAUAGAUCAAUAUCUGUUAAAUCUAAAAAACGAUAUUGAAACACAAGAACUUAUGUUGGUAUUCCGUGGAGAUUUAGAUUUAACUUUAUCAGAGAUGAAUGAAAAAAUAAAAAAUACAAGCAUCAAAUUUACAGAUUAUAUAAAAAAAAAUUAUAAAAAAAUUGAUGUAGUGGAAUAUGAUAUUUUAUCACCUAUAAAUUUUGUAUGUUUUUUUAUUCCUACCGUUUUUAAUAUAAAUAAUAUUAAUAUAUUAAAGGGUGGGUUAUUAAUAAUAUACGAAGAAUUAGAAAAUUAUAUUGAAAGCUGGGAUUUCUCGAAUACAUAUUUUGAUAUGGGUUAUGAUACAUAUAAAGAAAAAUAUAGUUAUGAAGACAUGAGUAAAAAUGACCAUGGCAUUGAUACAAAUUUACCUAAUGACCAUGAAGCUAAAUAUACCAAAAAAGGCAAAACUCUUUAUACUGUUAAAUAUAAAUCUGUAUUUUUUGAAAAUUUAUUCAAAGUGAAAAACAUAUUUGCAUUUAUUAGUAAUGACGUUGUAAAAAGUGCUGAAAUAUUAAAAAAAAUAAUGGAUAAGUUACCAGCAGAGGUAACAAACCAACACAAAUGGAACUUAUCGUUUAUUAAAUUAUUUGGUGCAUGGUAUUUGGCAGGAUAUGGAAAUAAAAAUAUAAAAGUAUGUGUUAUCGACUCUGGUAUAGAUAAAACACAUGAAGAUUUGAAAGGUGCUAUAUUUAUACCUGAAUAUUCUAAAACUUAUAGUAUGAAUGAUACUGAAUUUGACUUUAUAGUUAAAAACCCAGUUGAUGAAACAGGACAUGGUACACAUGUUGCUGGUAUUAUAGGUGGUAGGUUAAAUAGUUUAGGUAUUGUUGGUGUUGCACCAAAUAUAACUAUACUGCCAUUGAAAUUUAUGCAUAAAAAAAAAGGUGGGAGUACUCAUUAUGCUAUUAAAGCUAUAAAUGUGUGUUUAACUAAUAAAGCUCCUAUUAUUAACACUAGUUGGGGAUCUCCUCACUAUGAUUCAUCAUUAUACAAUGCAGUUAAGAGACUUCGAUAUUCGUUCAAUGGAAAGGGGUCUAUUAUAGUUGCAGCUGCAGGAAACUCUGAUAGAAACAAUGACGAACAUUUCGUAUACCCUGCAAAUUAUAAGCUGUCGAAUGUAUACAGCGUUGCAUCUAUCAGUGAUGAUUAUGAGGUUUCCCAUUUCUCGAACUACGGAGCUAAUAGUGUGCACAUACUUGCACCAGGUAAUCAUAUAUUUUCUACUUCACCGAAUAAUACAUACAAAAUUAGUGCUGGUACUUCGAUGGCAGCUCCACAUGUCAGUGGUGUUAUUGCCUUAAUAUAUUCAGUUUGCUGCAAGCAAGGAUAUAUACCUGAGGCAGAUGAUGUGCUCGACAUUGUUUCAAGAACAUCAAUAAAAGUAACAACUGCAAAGAAAACAAUUCAUAGCGCUUAUAUAAAUGCAGAAGCAGCAGUACUAACUACCUUAAUGGGAGGACUAUGGAUGCAAAUUAAUUGUGGUCAUGCCAUGGUUACGCUUGAUACCAAUCAGAAAAAACACAUACCUAUAGUUUUUGCAGGAUAUAAAAAUGGAAUGUAUGUAACAAAAAUAAUUAUAGGGAUAACGCCAGUAGAUAAAAGUUUAGACAUAUAUGGAGAAAUUAUAAUACCAAUAAGAAUAGUUACAGAUAUUAAAUAUCCCAAGUUUGUUGCUUCUCCCCCACUUGGAAAAGCUAUGUCGAUAGGUAAAGAUGAAGCACCGAAUGAUGAAAUAUUAGAUUAUAUGUGUAGUAAUUCAUUAUAUGACAUGUACAAGGUAAAUGGACAAAAUAUGCUGAUACUAUCAAUAGUGUUUUUAAUAGUAGUAGCACUUUUUAUUUUCUUAAUGUGCUAUUGUUUUGUAAAAGUAGUACAAAAAAUGUGUUUAAGAAAAAAACAUAAUCAGAAUAAUAAUCAAAAUAAUAAUGAACAAACGAACACACUUACAAUUAAUUUAGACAAAAUGCAUUCCUUGUUUUUUCAAACACAGGAGGAUUAUAUUAAAAAGAAUAAUGUAAAUGCACCAAUUUAUAAAUAAAGGUAGGCAGCUAAUAAAAACAUCAGGAUUGGCUAAGCUGUUCA